Molecule: ribosomal RNA, 481 nt
Filed under: Streptococcus intermedius
Lineage: Bacteria; Bacillati; Bacillota; Bacilli; Lactobacillales; Streptococcaceae
Description: bacterial SSU rRNA
Rfam family: Bacterial small subunit ribosomal RNA
Source: RNAcentral
GACGAACGCUGCGGCGUGCCUAAUACAUGCAAGUAGAACGCACAGGAUGCACCGUAGUUUACUACACCGUAUUCUGUGAGUUGCGAACGGGUGAGUAACGCGUAGGUAACCUGCCUGGUAGCGGGGGAUAACUAUUGGAAACGAUAGCUAAUACCGCAUAAGAACAUUUACUGCAUGGUAGAUGUUUAAAAGGUGCAAAUGCAUCACUACCAGAUGGACCUGCGUUGUAUUAGCUAGUAGGUGAGGUAACGGCUCACCUAGGCGACGAUACAUAGCCGACCUGAGAGGGUGAUCGGCCACACUGGGACUGAGACACGGCCCAGACUCCUACGGGAGGCAGCAGUAGGGAAUCUUCGGCAAUGGGGGGAACCCUGACCGAGCAACGCCGCGUGAGUGAAGAAGGUUUUCGGAUCGUAAAGCUCUGUUGUUAAGGAAGAACGAGUGUGAGAAUGGAAAGUUCAUACUGUGACGGUACUUAACC